GUGCUUGCUUUGGCAACACAUAUACUGAAAAUGGAAUGAUACAGACAAGAUUAGCAUGGCCCCUGAGCAAGGAUGACACGAAAAUUCGUAAAGCAGUCCAUAUUAUU
This is a small nuclear RNA of Echinops telfairi (small Madagascar hedgehog), 107 nucleotides long. NCBI's taxonomy places the organism in Eukaryota, Metazoa, Chordata, Mammalia, Afrosoricida, Tenrecidae. The record is from Ensembl.